This 92-nucleotide transfer RNA is filed under the name Roseibium sp. TrichSKD4. RNAcentral's name for it is "tRNA-Ser". It matches the Rfam family "tRNA". From Rfam's summary of the family: Transfer RNA (tRNA) molecules are approximately 80 nucleotides in length. Their secondary structure includes four short double-helical elements and three loops (D, anti-codon, and T loops). The record is from RNAcentral. Lineage: Bacteria; Pseudomonadati; Pseudomonadota; Alphaproteobacteria; Hyphomicrobiales; Stappiaceae.
CGGAGAGGUGCCGGAGUGGUCGAACGGGGCGGUCUCGAAAACCGUUGAGCGCGCAAGCGUUCCGAGGGUUCGAAUCCCUCUCUCUCCGCCAU